GGAGGAGUCAGGGCGAAUUGUUGACAUGUGAGCUGCCGUUUUUCAUGUAUCCACUGCAGGCACUUCUGAUAGUAAUAAAGUCAGGCAGCGUAAAAGUGGAUCUCGAAGAUGCACAGGUCUCCACACAGGAGCGAAGCCGUCACUCUGGAGCAUCUACAGCAGCAAAGAAGUCUGAAGAAACGUCAAAACUGCUGGCCGCCUGACAAAGUGAUCUGCGGAGUGUCGGCUCUCCGGCAAAGAGAUUCGCAGAGUGUCGGGGUCCCAGCAGAGGUCUGAAGAUUGUAACCCGCAGAGCGACGUUUAUGAUCAAUUAUUUGUAUUUUAUUUUGAAUUUCAUUUUUCCCCAUCCACCAGAUAGAAUUAGCCUCUUAAUGCCCAGAGGGAAGGGCAAUUCUUCCAGCCAUGGCUUCUCUAAAGGUUUCCUCCAACGCUGGGGUUUUUCCUUUCCUGCGGGCUGGAGAAUGACUCUUUGUGAGUCCAGAGGUGGCCCCCUCUCGACCUGCUUUAUGGUCGAUUAUGUAGAAAAAAAUUGAUAUAUAAUAAACUUUUAUUAUUCUCAUAA
Molecule: long non-coding RNA, 562 nt
Organism: Spea bombifrons (plains spadefoot toad)
Lineage: Eukaryota; Metazoa; Chordata; Amphibia; Anura; Pelobatidae
Exons: 2
Source: RefSeq, a predicted model, not a curated record